Long non-coding RNA from Talpa occidentalis (Iberian mole), 600 nucleotides. RefSeq lists it as uncharacterized. NCBI's taxonomy places the organism in Eukaryota, Metazoa, Chordata, Mammalia, Eulipotyphla, Talpidae. The record is from RefSeq and is a predicted model, not a curated record. The transcript has 3 exons.
UUCAGUCACAGUUCUAGAAAUUUCCCUGUGACCCAGACUUGGAGAUUCCUUUAGGACUCCAUGGGCUGACUUCUCCCUUGUCUCACAUUUUCUUCCAGUAGGGGGACAAGCAAUCAGCUACACUCAGGGUGCAGCGUCCCAGGUCUCAGAGCCCACUGGAGGCUCACAAGUGGUGCCCAAACAGGGACCUGAAGGAGAAACCUCCCACUGAAGUGAUGAGGUGACAGCAGUGGUCUCGACUCCACAGAAGGACGGCCUCCUCUGGUGGCGCAGGUGGUUGAGCACCACACUGUGAAGCUGUCUGCAACCUCUGCAGUGCUGGUUCGAUCCUGGCUGGCUGGCGAGGGUCCCACAUGGCAUGGCAGACCUCUCCUGUCACACCCGCUGCUCCCCUCAGCAGUGUAUUUUGUCAGUCUGCCUGUUCUGUUCCCCGCUCUGUCCCUGGUGAAUCCUCUCACUCCCCCACGCAUCUGACCUAUACCCCCGUUCUUUUUAUAAAUAAAUAAAUAAAUCUUUAAAAAAUAUGCUUGUUCUCAGUGAGAUAAAACCAUAACAACUUAAAGCCAAAGGAUCAUUUCUUUAAAAUAUAAACUCAAAAAA